CAGAUCUACCUGAACAGGGCAGGCAUCAAAGUGUGUGGCCCUUAGUUGGAUCAAGUGUGCAAGAAUAGAGCUGAAGUCCAUGCCAUUUAAUCCUAUAUUCAAGUUUUCAGUUUUAUCCAUAUCAGAAUAAAUGCAUGAAAUUCUUCCUUAAAAAAUAAAAAAUCCAAUCAUUGUCUCAAACACAUUUAAAAAAAAGAUUGGAAGCAAAAAGAAGAGAGAAUUAUUUUACCCUCUGGCAGAUUAUUUUCACAGUGUGAAAAAAGAUUGUACCUUUUUUAUUUUAAGACUAAAGAUGGACAUCAGUUGCAGUGAAGAUGAUAAAAAAUAUAAUAUAAAAUAUAAUUUUUUGGUUAUUUGAGAGAUAACACUUUGCAUUUUAAAUAGGAAAGUUUCUUUUUGUCAAACCCUGUUUUAAUAGAAAUAGAAUGUCCUUUAGCUGAUUUGACAGUCUCCAUGUGUUUUUGCUGGUUUGGGUCAGAUCACAUUUAGCUGUUCACAGGUUUGUUUUUUGUCCCCAGCUCUUCCACCUCUCAUGGGUCCCACUCCACCCUUGAACUGAACAUGCCCUCAAUUGUAUGCUGGAAGAGAAACAUUCAUUUAAUACUACUCUUUGUUUUCCCUGACAGCAUAUCUAGUUGGCCUGUACUUCGGCCGGAGGUUGGCAGCUAGGAGUGUGUGGCCUCAGAGCCGUGCGUACUACACACGUUGCGUUGGACUCCUGAGUCAUCGAGCUGCCUCUCUUGGCGGCGUCACCUGGGAAGCUGCGCCUUCACUUACUGGACAGGAGCUAUGGGUCAGUGGCGAGUGGCUGACUGAUCCCUGCGUGGUGGUCCCUUCACGUCCUGUACAGUAGUGCACUUUGGGGUGUCAAUCAAUGAUGUGUGGGCUUUCACAUGUGAUGUGUGCAGUAUCCGGAUCCUUCCCUCUUCCCCUCAGUUAGCUACCUCCGCCUGGUGAGCCCUCAGCCCUGUGCCUAGUCUAUACACUUUACCAGCAAACUUAAAAAUUAAAAAGGCCCUUAGGGAUCGUGCAAUAUCUUGCCACUAAUUUUCCUAUCAGUCACUUGUAUCACCAUCAAGAGAUUUUU
Molecule: long non-coding RNA, 1087 nt
Organism: Thunnus maccoyii (southern bluefin tuna)
Lineage: Eukaryota; Metazoa; Chordata; Actinopteri; Scombriformes; Scombridae
Exons: 4
Source: RefSeq, a predicted model, not a curated record